CCCUCCUACCUCUCUUCUCCGUCCACGUGUGAGCAGGCCCCACGCCUGGCCGCGGGGGUGCCCUCUUUAGCAGGACGGAAGAGGCCUCACGACCGCCAGGGGCGUCCUACCUUCCACACGCUUUGUUUCCUGUGGCAUCUGUUUUUCUUUUCUUUUCUUUUUUUCUUUUUUUUUUUCUUUUUGACCCGGAGUCUCGGUCUGUCGCCAGGCUGCAGUUUAGUGGGGCGACCUCGGCUCACUGCAACCUCCGCCUUCCGGAUUCAAGCGAUUCUCCUGCCUCAGACUCCCGAGUAGCUGGGACUACAGGUGCUCACCACCACGCCUGUAUUUUUGUAUUUUUAGUAGAGACGGGUUUCACCGUGUUGGCCAGGAUUGUCUCGAUCUCCUAACCUCGUGAUUUGCCCGCCUGGGCCUCCCAAAGUGCUGGGACUACAAGCAUGAGCCACCACGCCCUGCCAGGCGUUUGUUUUCUAAGAAGCCUUGCACGCCCACACCCUCAGGAAGCAAUGUUCUUUCUUUCUGAGAAACAAGCUUUUCGUGUCUUCAGUUGUGUACCAUGUUGUCUACAUGAACAACGCCUUGUUCAAUAUUAGUUUGUCAAUCGAAUUGAUUGGUAAGAGCAUGCUCCUUUAAAUGAUGCAGAAGAGGGGAAGGGAAGUGCUGGAUAGAGGAGCGUAUGUGUCCUGGAUAAGGCUCCACUCCCACGUAAGUAGGUGAGCACAGGCACUUCUGUCUUCCCGCCCAAAUGUUGCAUUUUGCAAGACCACCCUGGCCUGCCACGCCCCCAUCCUGGACCUAUAAAUAUCGGAGAAACUAGCAAGGAGGAGGCAGAAGGAGCUGGACCUUAUGAGAAACACAUCAGCAGAAAAAGACAUCAGCGGCUAUCGCCCAGACCGCACUGGCAGAAGAGCACGCCGACAGGCACUGGCAGGCCGGCAGCCACGGACAAGCAGAACAAUGCAGAAUUUGGCUGGGGCAGUGGGAGGAGAGCCCAGGACCCCUACCUGCCUGACUACAGGAGAAAACCGUUUCCUUUCUGGCUCCCCGAUCCGCUGAGAGCUACCUCCACGCAAUAAAACGUUGCACUCAUUCUCCAAGCCCCCAUGUGACCCAAUUCUUCUAAUACACCAAGGCAAGAAACUCCGGGAUACAGAAAGUACUCUGUCAUUACGACAAGGUACAGGAUCUAAUUGAGCUGACUACACGCCGCCUGUAGAAGGCAAACUAAAAGAGCACCCUAUAACACACACCCACUGGGGCUUCAGGAGCUGUAAACAUUCACCCCCAAACACUGCCAGCGGGUCAGAGCCCCACAGCCUGCCCAUCUGUAUGCUCCCCUAGAGGUUUGAGCAGAACAAUGGGGUACUGAAGAAGUGGGCCACACCCCCAGCACAUGCCCUGCAAUAGGGAAAUGGGAACCUUUCCUGUUUCACUAUUUCACAACCCUUUUUUUUUUUUUUUUUUUGAGACGGAGUCUCGCCUGUCACGUCCCUAGAAGAGCCAUUUCUAACCUACUUCCCAUCUCAAUAAGACUCCCUUAUUGUACUUUCUCAUAUCAUCUUGUGUAAUUUUUAUUGUGGUAAAAUACACAUAAAAUUUGCUAUUUUAAACCAUUCUAAAAUGUAUCAUUCAGUAGCUUAAGUUAACUUCAAACUGUUGUACAGCCAUCACUAGUCUAUCUCCAGAACGUUUUGUUUCCAUUUAAAACUAUGUACUCAUGUAUACAGUAACUCCUCAUUCCUUCUUACCCACCUCAACCUUUGAUAAUCAUGUUUCUAUAAAUUUUACUACUCUAAGAACAUCAUAUGCAUGGAAUCACAUAAUAUGUGUCUUUGCAUACUGGCCUAUUUUACACAGCAUAUCUGAAGUUUUGUCCAUGUUUCAGAAUUUUUUUAAAGGCUAACAAUAUUCCAUUGUAUGGAAAGACCGUAUUUCUUCAACUCCUCUAUUGAUGGGCAUUUAGGUUUCCAUCUUUUGGCUGUUGUUAAUGGUGCUAUGAACAUACAUGCACAAAUAUCUGCUUAAUCCCCUGAUUUCAAUGAUUUUGUGUGUAUGCUUAGAAGUGAAAUUCUUGGACCAUAACAUAACUUAAUGUUUACUAUUCUGAGGAAUUGUCAUACUGUAUUCCAUUGUAUAUGUAAAUCACAUUUUCUUUAUACAUUUAUCUAGUGAUACCCAGGUUGUUUCUAUAUCUUGGUUAUUAUGAAUGAUGCUGCAAUGAAUAUUAAGAGUGAAGAUAUCUCUGUGAUAUA
Molecule: long non-coding RNA, 2252 nt
Organism: Symphalangus syndactylus (siamang)
Lineage: Eukaryota; Metazoa; Chordata; Mammalia; Primates; Hylobatidae
Source: RefSeq, a predicted model, not a curated record